GCCCGGCUAGCUCAAUCGGUAGAGCGUGAGACUCUUAUUCAGUUCUCCAUCUCAAGGUUGUGGGUUCGACCCCCACGUCGGGCU
Molecule: non-coding RNA, 84 nt
Organism: Staphylotrichum longicolle
Lineage: Eukaryota; Fungi; Ascomycota; Sordariomycetes; Sordariales; Chaetomiaceae
Source: the annotation of a GenBank genome assembly